Long non-coding RNA from Cryptotermes secundus, 973 nucleotides. RefSeq lists it as uncharacterized. The record is from RefSeq and is a predicted model, not a curated record. The transcript is spliced from 2 exons. NCBI's taxonomy places the organism in Eukaryota, Metazoa, Arthropoda, Insecta, Blattodea, Kalotermitidae.
UUUUCAUGAAAUGCAGCAUGCAAACAGCAGAACCAUUCCUGUGUAGGAUUGUGUGGCUGUUCUGUAACACAGACAGCUAGACAUUACCUUAAUACUGUGAAGGAUGGUUUCUGGUACAGGCAAUGGUAGACAAAAUUGUAACUGGACAGGUUUUUCUUUGAUUAUUUAGGUUUUCGUUUGCCAAAUAUCAUUCCACUGUGCUCCAUACGCAUCUAUGAUCAUCCUCGUGCUCAGGGGUUGGCAGAGAAGUAAUAACUAGAAGCUGCAAUGACUUACUCUGCGGUACGGAAGGAAGAGGCCAAAAAGUUACCCUACAAAUCUGACUCACUGCCCCUUUCCAGCACUUGGCUGGGUCAGAGUUGGAAGUCAUACAUGAAGACCAAAGUUGUGAAAAUGUGCUUAUUAAUCUGUGUCAGUGAUAAGUGAGUACUGAAAAUUGGCAAGGGGAAACUGAAGUAGUCAAUGUCCCAGGGCAUUUUUUUUUCAUCAUGAAUCCCAUAUGGUGUGCCCUAGGAUUGAAUUUUCAUUAAUGUAGCAAAAAGCAGAAUGUGGCUGCCUGAGCUAUGAAAUGGCUUAGAUGUACAGUAUCCCAUGAGUCACUGUUUUGUUAGAGAGGAGAGGAAGCAUGAACAAUUAAAAGACACAGGUACUGAAAUUAAUCUUUUUUAACUUACAUCUUUGAUGUACCCAUGCUAGCAUUGUCAUGAUUUUAUUGAUUUGAAGUACAGUAGGAAGAGAAGGUAUCAUGGAGGAUGAUGGGAAAGUUCAGUCCUUCCCUCACGGUCUUCAGACACUGCAUCCCCAAAGCAACAGUUCGUGUGUAUAUGGCAAAGCACAUACACUUAAUAAAUAUAAAAUUUAAUGAAAAAUAUUAAAACAGCAUGCACAGAUAAUCUGCAUACAUGUAACUGGGUGAAUUAUUUAUUUGCAUUUGUACACUUUUCUUAAUUCUACUUUAUGAUUUUACAUUUAA